AUGGGUGUCACUGGUUUGGUGUUGGUGUUGUCUUUGUCGGUUAUGGUGGUAUCCAGCAAAGACUGGAUCGUUGGCGAUGGGAAGGGAUGGACCUUCGGUGUAUCUGGUUGGGAAAAGGGUAAGAUAUUUGUUAGAGAUGACUACCUCAUCUUCAACUAUAAACCAAAGAUGCACAAUGUUUUGGAGGUUGCCACAUCCGAGUACAAGGCGUGCGACAUCAACGCCAUCCCCUCUAGAAACUUUACCUCGGGACAUGACCGUGUCCAGCUCGUUGGUGUUGUGGCCUCCUACAUAUGCGGCACUCCCGGACACUGCGGUAGGGGUAUGAAGAUCCACAUGGCCAUCGAAGAUAAGGAAUGA
RNAcentral lists this ribosomal RNA (360 nucleotides) under Triticum aestivum (bread wheat). Its description in RNAcentral is "partial small subunit ribosomal RNA". The record is from RNAcentral. Lineage: Eukaryota; Viridiplantae; Streptophyta; Magnoliopsida; Poales; Poaceae.